UGCGAAUGGGCGAAAGCCUGACGCAGCGACGCCGCGUGGGGGAUGAAGCUUCUCGGAGUGUAAACCCCUUUCGACCGGGACGAAUGCCCGCAAGGGAGUGACGGUACCGGUAGAAGAAGCCCCGGCUAACUACGUGCCAGCAGCCGCGGUAAGACGUAGGGGGCCAGCGUUGUUCGGAAUUACUGGGUGUAAAGGGUUCGUAGGCGGUGUGGCAAGUCGGGAGUGAAAUCUCUGGGCUUAACUCAGAGGCUGCUUCCGAAACUGCUGUGCUGGAGUGUGGGAGAGGCGCGUGGAAUUGCAGGUGUAGCGGUGAAAUGCGUAGAUAUCUGCAGGAACACCCGUGGCGAAAGCGGCGCGCUGGACCAUUACUGACGCUGAGGAACGAAAGCUAGGGGAGCAAACAGGAUUAGAUACCCUGGUAGUCCUAGCCCUAAACGAUCAGGACUUGGGGUGCCACCCGUUCGGGUGUCGUCCCGGAGCUAACGCGUUAAGUCCUGCACCUGGGGAGUACGGUCGCAAGACUGAAACUCAAAGGAAUUGACGGA
Molecule: ribosomal RNA, 545 nt
Filed under: uncultured bacterium
Lineage: Bacteria
Description: bacterial SSU rRNA
Rfam family: Bacterial small subunit ribosomal RNA
Source: RNAcentral